AGAUGUGAUGGCAAUCUGGCUCUGACAUCUGUCAUCCCAUUGAUUGCCACAGUUUAGCUGGAUAGACAAACCAAUGUCCCUUUCCACCCUCACUUCUUUCCUCACUGCAUACUUAGUUAAAGAAAGCCACCUCCACUGGGGGAAAAAUGAUUGUGAUUUGAUCAAGGGUGCAUCAGCAUUCCUCUGAUAGCAUUUCCAAACAAGCUCUUGAAAAUCUGUUUUCCCCUUCCUAACUAGCAUUGUUUAUUGAUUCCCCUUUCCUGACUUGGUGAGAAUGAAUAGUACGUUUUAACACACUGUUUGUGUGCUGCUUAAGUUUGAGUCUUUCCCUCUGU
This 335-nucleotide small nuclear RNA is filed under the name Rattus norvegicus (Norway rat). RNAcentral describes it as "7SK RNA". It matches the Rfam family "7SK RNA". From Rfam's summary of the family: 7SK was discovered as an abundant small nuclear RNA in the mid-70s but a possible function has only recently been suggested. Two independent studies have found that 7SK RNA binds the CDK9/cyclin T complex (known as elongation factor P-TEFb). The record is from Rfam by way of RNAcentral. Lineage: Eukaryota; Metazoa; Chordata; Mammalia; Rodentia; Muridae.